Molecule: RNA transcript, 704 nt
Organism: Ipomoea nil (Japanese morning glory)
Lineage: Eukaryota; Viridiplantae; Streptophyta; Magnoliopsida; Solanales; Convolvulaceae
Exons: 2
Source: RefSeq, a predicted model, not a curated record
CACAUUACACAUUUAUUCCUUUUCUUUUCGGCAGAAGCAGUAGGCCAAAAAGAAAGAAAAAAUUCAGUUUUUCUUUCUUUCUCUUUUCACGAUCGUAUGCAGCAGUUGAAGGAGCAACGUCUAUUUCUUCUUCUUUUUGUGCUACUUUAUCGUGGAUUUGGGACGGCGGCGGCGUGUGUCGGCAGGUUUUGUCGCACAUCUGAUGAAUUUGCCGUGAGUUUGCCGGAGAUCUUUGGGGUACUUUUCUUCAUCAAAUAUUUGGAGAGGUCAGUGUUUGUUCUAGGCAUCAUCGUUUUGGAGCUACAAGCUGCGGCACGGCGGGGAAGGGAAUCUGCAUUGGAGGGGGGCAAAAGAGUCCGUCGCCGGGGAAGGGAAUCUGCAUUGGAGGGGGGCAAAAGAGUCCCGUGACGAUGGAGGCGCCAGAAUUUGGGGCUGGACUGAUAGUUGGAUUGCACAUUAAUCGCUAUAUGCUCACAGGAUGGAAAGCCACUGCUUGGAGACGCAUUGGAGGCGCAGAACAGAUCUGGGGGCAAUCCAAGCAGAAUUUGUAAUAACAAAUCUUCGGCGUCCAACAUCUUCAUUAGAAUUAGAAUUCCUCAACAAAGACAAAUCCUUCUAACUACAACCUUUUAAUCACUCAAUUAAGGUUGAAAUAAGAAUCCUAAUUCAAAUUAAAUACUUGUCAAAGUCUGCCAAAUGGGCCG